Molecule: transfer RNA, 90 nt
Filed under: Hortaea werneckii
Lineage: Eukaryota; Fungi; Ascomycota; Dothideomycetes; Mycosphaerellales; Teratosphaeriaceae
Also listed under: 1 other name
Description: tRNA-Ala
Rfam family: tRNA
About the family: Transfer RNA (tRNA) molecules are approximately 80 nucleotides in length. Their secondary structure includes four short double-helical elements and three loops (D, anti-codon, and T loops).
Source: RNAcentral
GGGCGCUUGGUCUAGGGGUAUGAUUUUCGCUUCGCAUAUUCCUUGAAUAUCACAUGUGAAAGGUCGUGGGUUCAAUUCCCACAGCGUCCA